UUUGCUUGCAAACUAAAGAUGGCGACCGGCGCACGGGUGAGUAACACGUAUCCAACCUGCCGAUAACUCAGGGAUAGCCUUUCGAAAGAAAGAUUAAUACCUGAUGGCAUAGGAUUAUCGCAUGAUAAUCCUAUUAAAGAAUUUCGGUUAUCGAUGGGGAUGCGUUCCAUUAGGCAGUUGGUGAGGUAACGGCUCACCAAACCUUCGAUGGAUAGGGGUUCUGAGAGGAAGGUCCCCCACAUUGGAACUGAGACACGGUCCAAACUCCUACGGGAGGCAGCAGUGAGGAAUAUUGGUCAAUGGACGGGAGUCUGAACCAGCCAAGUAGCGUGAAGGAUGACUGCCCUAUGGGUUGUAAACUUCUUUUAUACGGGAAUAAAGUGAUCCACGUGUGGGUUUUUGUAUGUACCGUAUGAAUAAGGAUCGGCUAACUCCGUGCCAGCAGCCGCGGUAAUACGGAGGAUCCGAGCGUUAUCCGGAUUUAUUGGGUUUAAAGGGAGCGUAGGUGGAUUGUUAAGUCAGUUGUGAAAGUUUGCGGCUCAACCGUAAAAUUGCAGUUGAUACUGGCAGUCUUGAGUACAGUAGAGGUGGGCGGAAUUCGUGGUGUAGCGGUGAAAUGCUUAGAUAUCACGAAGAACUCCGAUUGCGA
RNAcentral lists this ribosomal RNA (649 nucleotides) under uncultured Bacteroidales bacterium. Its description in RNAcentral is "bacterial SSU rRNA". It matches the Rfam family "Bacterial small subunit ribosomal RNA", at positions 75 to 718 of the family's 1533-position model. The record is from RNAcentral. Lineage: Bacteria; Pseudomonadati; Bacteroidota; Bacteroidia; Bacteroidales.